UAGGGAAUCUUCCGCAAUGGGCGAAAGCCUGACGGAGCAACGCCGCGUGAGUGAUGAAGGUCUUCGGAUCGUAAAACUCUGUUAUUAGGGAAGAACAAAUGUGUAAGUAACUAUGCACGUCUUGACGGUACCUAAUCAGAAAGCCACGGCUAACUACGUGCCAGAAGCCGCGGUAAUACGUAGGUGGCAAGCGUUAUCCGGAAUUAUUGGGCGUAAAGCGCGCGUAGGCGGUUUUUUAAGUCUGAUGUGAAAGCCCACGGCUCAACCGUGGAGGGUCAUUGGAAACUGGAAGACUUGAGUGCAGAAGAGGAAAGUGGAAUUCCAUGUGUAGCGGUGAAAUGCGCAGAGAUAUGGAGGAACACCAGUGGCGAAGGCGACUUUCUGGUCUGUAACUGACGCUGAUGUGCGAAAGCGUGGGGAUCAAACAGG
This 429-nucleotide ribosomal RNA is filed under the name Acidobacteriota bacterium. Its description in RNAcentral is "Acidobacteria bacterium partial 16S ribosomal RNA". It matches the Rfam family "Bacterial small subunit ribosomal RNA", at positions 355 to 776 of the family's 1533-position model. The record is from RNAcentral. Lineage: Bacteria; Pseudomonadati; Acidobacteriota.